GCCUGGGGAGUACGUUCGCAAGAUUAAAACUCAAAGGGAAUUGACGGGGACCCGCACAAGCGGUGGAUGAUGUGGAUUAAUUCGAUGCAACGCGAAAAACCUUACCUACCCUUGACAUGCCAGGAACCCUGCUGAGAGGUGGGGGUGCUCGAAAGAGAGCCUGGGCACAGGUGCUGCAUGGCUGUCGUCAGCUCGUGUCGUGAGAUGUUGGGUUAAGUCCCGCAACGAGCGCAACCCUUGUCAUUAGUUGCCAUCAUUUAGUUGGGCACUCUAAUGAGACUGCCGGUGACAAACCGGAGGAAGGUGGGGAUGACGUCAAGUCCUCAUGGCCCUUAUGGGUAGGGCUUCACACGUCAUACAAUGGUCGGUACAGAGGGUUGCCAAGCCGCGAGGUGGAGCCAAUCCCAGAAAGCCGAUCGUAGUCCGGAUCGUAGUCUGCAACUCGACUGCGUGAAGUCGGAAUCGCUAGUAAUCGUGGAUCAGCAUGCCACGGUGAUACGUUCCCGGGUCUUGUACACACCGCCCGUCACACCAUGGGAGUGGGUUUCACCAGAAGUAG
This 559-nucleotide ribosomal RNA is filed under the name uncultured Gammaproteobacteria bacterium. Its description in RNAcentral is "bacterial SSU rRNA". It matches the Rfam family "Bacterial small subunit ribosomal RNA", at positions 871 to 1429 of the family's 1533-position model. Lineage: Bacteria; Pseudomonadati; Pseudomonadota; Gammaproteobacteria. The record is from RNAcentral.